RNAcentral lists this ribosomal RNA (433 nucleotides) under uncultured bacterium. RNAcentral's name for it is "partial 16S ribosomal RNA". It matches the Rfam family "Bacterial small subunit ribosomal RNA", at positions 29 to 507 of the family's 1533-position model. The record is from RNAcentral.
AACGAACGCUGGCGGCAUGCCUAACACAUGCAAGUCGAACGAGACCUUCGGGUCUAGUGGCGCACGGGUGCGUAACGCGUGGGAACCUGCCCUUAGGUUCGGAAUAACUCCCCGAAAGGUGUGCUAAUACCGGUUAAUGUCUUCGGACCAAAGAGUUAUCGCCUUUGGAUGGGCCCGCGUUGGUUUAGCCGGUUGGUAGGGUAAAAGCCUACCAAGGCGACGAUCCAUAGCUGGUCUGAGAGGAUGAUCAGCCACACUGGGCCUGAGACACGGCCCAGACUCCUACGGGAGGCAGCAGUGGGGAAUAUUGGACAAUGGGCGAAAGCCUGAUCCAGCAAUGCCGCGUGAGUGAUGAAGGCCUUAGGGUUGUAAAGCUCUUUUACCCGGGAUGAUAAUGACAGUACCGGGAGAAUAAGCUCCGGCUAACUCCGUG